This 497-nucleotide ribosomal RNA is filed under the name uncultured bacterium. RNAcentral's name for it is "partial 16S ribosomal RNA". It matches the Rfam family "Bacterial small subunit ribosomal RNA", at positions 28 to 523 of the family's 1533-position model. The record is from RNAcentral.
GAUGAACGCUGGCGGCGUGCUUAACACAUGCAAGUCGAACGAAGCAUUUGCGACAGAUUUCUUCGGAUUGAAGUUGCUUAUGACUGAGUGGCGGACGGGUGAGUAACGCGUGGGUAACCUGCCUCAUACAGGGGGAUAGCAGCUGGAAACGGCUGGUAAUACCGCAUAAGCGCACAGUACCACAUGGUACAGUGUGAAAAACUCCGGUGGUAUGAGAUGGACCCGCGUCUGAUUAGCUAGUUGGUGAGGUGACGGCCCACCAAGGCGACGAUCAGUAGCCGACCUGAGAGGGUGACCGGCCACAUUGGGACUGAGACACGGCCCAGACUCCUACGGGAGGCAGCAGUGGGGAAUAUUGCACAAUGGAGGAAACUCUGAUGCAGCGACGCCGCGUGAGUGAAGAAGUAGUUCGCUAUGUAAAGCUCUAUCAGCAGGGAAGAUAGUGACGGUACCUGACUAAGAAGCUCCGGCUAAAUACGUGCCAGCAGCCGCCGCAG